GGGCUAGGUAGGAGGUAGGAGCGAGUCCGAAUGGCGAGAGGAAGGACGUAGGAUGCCGACGAAGGAGAGGGAGGAAAGACAAAACCAACAGGAGGGGGAAAGCCUCGUACUCAACGCUGUCCUGAUGAGGCAGGAGGAUGGCCGUCUCGUAACGGUUUGAAUCAUAUUAUUUAAAGAGAAAUUUAAAGAGAAAAUUUAAAGAGAAAAAACGAGAUAAAAAGAAAUCUACUCUUAAGGAAACGAAUACACUCGUAGGUAUACUCGUAGGUAUACUCCAAAUACACUGGGACGUAUCUUAUACUAUUUUCAGACUGUUCAUUGGAAAUCUAACGAACGGAAGAGACAAAGGAAAUGCUAAAUACAAUUGAAUAAUAAUACAAUUUAUAAUAAAUUACAAUUUAAUUUCAACAACUGACACGGAAAAUAAAUUUAUUCUUACGUUAACGUUCUAUCUUUCGCCUAUGUUCCAUCCAUAGCUCAUCCGCUUAUCAUUUUUAUUUCGCUCUAACUGCAGCCAAUUAUUUUUUAGAAUAUUUUUACAUUUUAGAUCAUCUAUACAACAGUAAGGAAAUUUUUAAUAGUCCUACAUUAUAAAAAGUAUAUUAAAAAAUUAGCUUCAAACGCUUAUUAAUACAUAUACCGUACAUGCAUACACGUACAUACAUACAUGUAUAUCUCACUUACUCUUCUAUUUCUGGUUUUUAAUUUUAUCCGUUAAUUAAUGCAAGAAUCCUGAAAUUAAAUAGCUAUAGAAUUAAUAUUUAUGAUUGUUUAUCAAACAAAUUGAAUCGAUUAGAAAACAAUCUAUAUCAUUAUCUUAUACGUUUAAACGUUACAAACAUUUAAAACUGUAUUUUACGUUAAAGUUAUUCCUCUUAUUGCAGCGGAGAGAUUAAUGUAAAAAGUAGCGUAAAACAUGGUUCGCGUGAUCGUAUACGCCCAUGAGAGAAGAAGAAAUAUUUAAAUCGUCGUCACCGAGUACACCGCAAAAUUACAUAAUAUGUAAUUCCUUUUACAAUUGAGGCCAAUCACAUUGCGUAAAAGAAUCUCGUCAUUUACUCCGCUCUAACUGCUUCUGAGCGCGCGAUUUAUCUAGAUUUCCAAAGAUACAGAUGAAGAUUUAAACAAAAGAUAUCAAGAUAUAAUAAAGUGAACGAUCUUAAUAACGAUAUUUAAUAUCAGUAUCGAUGAUUCAGUUCUGUGAUUUAAUUAAUUUUCAUCUUGUACGAAUAUAGCAAAAAAUUAUACAUGUAUAUAUAUAUAUAUAUAUAUAUAUAUAUAUAUAUAUAUAUAUAUAUAUAUAUAUAUACACAUAAAAUAAUAAUAUAUGAA
This is a long non-coding RNA of Bombus huntii, 1332 nucleotides long. RefSeq lists it as uncharacterized. Lineage: Eukaryota; Metazoa; Arthropoda; Insecta; Hymenoptera; Apidae. The transcript has 2 exons. The record is from RefSeq and is a predicted model, not a curated record.